GUGAGCGGCAAAAGCUCAAAUUUGAAAUCUGCGUAAGCCGAGUUGUAAUUUGAAGAUGGCUACUUUGGUAAUGGCUCUUGUCUAUGUUCCUUGGAACAGGACGUCACAGAGGGUGAGAAUCCCGUGCGAUGAGAUGUCCAUUACCGUGUAAAGUGCUUUCGAAGAGUCGAGUUGUUUGGGAAUGCAGCUCUAAGUGGGUGGUAAAUUCCAUCUAAAGCUAAAUAUUGGCGAGAGACCGAUAGCGAACAAGUACAGUGAUGGAAAGAUGAAAAGAACUUUGAAAAGAGAGUGAAAAAGUACGUGAAAUUGUUGAAAGGGAAGGGCUUGAGAUCAGACUUGGUAUUUUGUAUGGCUUGCUUUCGGGCGGGUCCUCUGCAGUUUACUGGGCCAGCAUCGGUUUGGGUGGCAGGAUAAUAGCAUUGGAAUGUGGCUCUACUUCGGUGGAGUGUUAUAGCCUUUGUUGAUACUGCCUGCCUAGACCGAGGACUGCGUCUUUUGACUAGGAUGCUGGCAUAAUGAUCCUAAGCCGCCCGUCUUGAAACACGGACCA
RNAcentral lists this ribosomal RNA (550 nucleotides) under Fermentozyma sake. RNAcentral describes it as "eukaryotic LSU rRNA". It matches the Rfam family "Eukaryotic large subunit ribosomal RNA", at positions 93 to 668 of the family's 3401-position model. Lineage: Eukaryota; Fungi; Ascomycota; Pichiomycetes; Serinales; Debaryomycetaceae. The record is from RNAcentral.